AUGGAUGAAUUCCGAGGUGUGGAAAAGUGGAGUAGUGACUUUGUGGUCCCCGAUUGGUACAAGAGUCAGAUGGUUAAUCUUGUCAGUAAGGGCAAAGUUCGGAUUGAGCUUAUGGUAACAGGGGGGCAAGAGUGUUACUGUAACACUUGGAACAAAAAUCUUGGCUGGUCUGUCUAUUCAAACCAGUACUCGAGAGAAGGGACUCAAAGCGCUGUUGGUAUGUGCCGCUUUAUCCUUCCUUCCAAAGGAACAUUGAACGAAGGGCUCAUCUAUAGAAAGCAAGCUAUAGCUAUGGGAAUAAGUCAUGUCCUAAGCCUAAGGUUUUGGGCACCGUAG
Molecule: long non-coding RNA, 336 nt
Filed under: Vicia faba (fava bean)
Lineage: Eukaryota; Viridiplantae; Streptophyta; Magnoliopsida; Fabales; Fabaceae
Source: RNAcentral